UUCCAGACUCCUACGGGAGGCAGCAGUGGGGAAUAUUGCACAAUGGGGGGAACCCUGAUGCAGCGACGCCGCGUGAGUGAAGAAGUAUUUCGGUAUGUAAAGCUCUAUCAGCAGGGAAGAAGAUGACGGUACCUGACUAAGAAGCCCCGGCUAACUACGUGCCAGCAGCCGCGGUAAUACGUAGGGGGCAAGCGUUAUCCGGAUUUACUGGGUGUAAAGGGAGCGUAGACGGCAGGGCAAGUCUGGAGUGAAAGCCCGGGGCCCAACCCCGGGACUGCUUUGGAAACUGUGCAGCUAGAGUGCAGGAGAGGUAAGUGGAAUUCCUAGUGUAGCGGUGAAAUGCGUAGAUAUUAGGAGGAACACCAGUGGCGAAGGCGGCUUACUGGACUGUAACUGACGUUGAGGCUCGAAAGCGUGGGGAGCAAACAGGAUUAGAUACCCUCGUACAU
This 449-nucleotide ribosomal RNA is filed under the name uncultured bacterium. RNAcentral describes it as "bacterial SSU rRNA". It matches the Rfam family "Bacterial small subunit ribosomal RNA", at positions 329 to 794 of the family's 1533-position model. The record is from RNAcentral.